Long non-coding RNA from Toxorhynchites rutilus septentrionalis, 1001 nucleotides. RefSeq lists it as uncharacterized. The record is from RefSeq and is a predicted model, not a curated record. NCBI's taxonomy places the organism in Eukaryota, Metazoa, Arthropoda, Insecta, Diptera, Culicidae. The transcript is spliced from 3 exons.
UACUGUCAUGCCUAUUCCCAAAUAUCGUCAACGCGGAUAGUUCGUUAGUCGAAAAUACUGAAUAAUUAAACAAACCAAAUGGCAUCACUGGUGGUUCUUUUUUCCACUCCGCUAAACUGUCAUCUCAAACAAAAACAAAUGGAUCAUACAACUGCUAUGAAUACAUUCGACUCGUUUGCUUCCAUCAAUCGGUAAGUGAGAAAGAUGAUUUCUCCCAUCACCACAGUGCGGAUUUCCACUUCUAUCACAGCAGCCAACAACAUCCGUUUUCCUGCAGCAGUAACCUCCAACCCCUGUUGGCAAUGCCGGGGGACAGCAUCAACAGCAGCAACAGCAGAAUUUGACCAUGGUAUGGUAUCGCGAAGAACUUUCCCCAUUAGAGGUUCCGUGCUUCGCGCACAUUCAAAAAUCCUCUUCAGAUACGAAAACUCAACGACAAGGAGAUAUUUAUCAACUUGCUCAGCUGAAUUACUACCCCGGAGGAACCCGAAUGCACUGAUUCCGUAGUAUAGUAGAAUGAAAAUAGGCGAGGUUAGCGAACGUAAUCGCAUGAUAUUUUAAUGUUCGCAUUUUUAUCCGGAUCAUACAACUGCUAUGAAUACAUCCGACUCAAUCAAUCGGCGAAUGAGAAAGAUGAUUUCCCUCAUCACCACAUUGCUUAUUUCCACUUCUGUCACACCAGCCAACAGCAUCAGCUUUCCCGCAGCAGUAUACUUUAAGUCCAGGGUGCUAUUCCGGGGAACAGCAACAGCAGCAGGACCUGGCCAUCGAUAGUAUUUCGAGCAAUUUUCCCCAUCGGAGAUCUCGUGCUUCACGCACAUUGAAGAAUCCUCCUCAGCCACAUAUCUGUGUCAUCAAGGGCAAGGAGGUAUUCAUCAAUGUACUCAGUCGGAUUUGAAUCGUCAAUCCAGACAACCCGGAUGCACCGAUUCCAUUAUAUACCUUAUUUUUAUUAUACAUGGAUUUUUAUUAUUUUUUUUCAAUAAAAUGAUUAAAAUCGA